AUGGCUUACUUACUCCAACUAGGUUCCACCUCUGAAAAUUUCCAUGGCUUCUCAACAGCACCAAGAGCUAGAGACCAAACCUUAAACAAACACAUCAGCCUGAAGGAGGACAAGGGAGGAACAUAUAUAAACUGCAGCAGUGUAUACUGUUAGAUGAGUGUAUUCUUGGCAUAAUUAUUUGUUAAACACAGGGAGAUAAAAUGUUACUCUGGUUUCAAAGAAGCCACAUUGCUUUUGAAUACAUAAAACAAGGAUGAGGAGAUGACUCAGUUGGUAAAGCACCUGUAGCAUAAGAAUAAAGACCUGAGUUGUGAUCCCCAACACACACGCACAAUUAUGCUUGAAGUGGCCCUGCAUAUCUGUAAACUUGUACACAGAGGGAUGGAGUCAGAUGGAUCCCUGAACACUCUGGACAGACUGUCUAGCUCAUCAAAGCGCCUACUUCAGUGAGAGAACUUGUCUUUGAGAAUAUUGUCGUGGAUUUGGAUGCUGGAGAAAUGGCUCAGUGGUUAAGAACACUGGCUCUUCAUUUAGAGAAGAGAAUUUGGGUUCUCAGUUCCCACUGAUUCUUCCUUUCUCAGGAGCUCCUUGUAGCUGGAGAGUUUUCUCUCUGGGUCCCUCCAAACCCCGGCAGUCCCUCAGCCCACUUAUAAAAUAAACAUGCAGACGCUUAUAUUAUUUAAACUGCUUGGCCAUUAGUUCAGGCCUAUCAUUGUCUAGCUCUUACUCUUAUAAUCAGUCCAUUUCUAUUAAUCUAUACUUUGCCAUGUGGCUCUUAGCUUACUGGUACCUUACAUCUUCCUUGUCCUGGCAGCUGCUGCAGGCAGUCUCCUCCUUCCCUUCCUGUUCACUUAAUUCUCCUCUCUGUUAGUCCCGCCUAUACUUCCUGUCUGGCUACUGGCCAAUCAGUGUUUUAUUUAUUAACAUAUUUGCCAUACAGAACAUCCCACAGCAGCUCGUAAUUACCUAUAGCUUUUCUUCCAGAGGUAGGACCUUGAGAGAUAUUCCCCCAUCUACUUCGGCAUUUUAACAGGUUGAGCAUCCCAAAUACUACAAAAUACAAAAUUUUUCAAGAUCUGGAACUUUUGAGCAACAAUAUGGUACUGAAACAGGAGAACAUUUAUGCAUUUCAGGUGAAGGAUGAUCUCCUGGGAAAAGAUCACAACUUUGUCAGAGUUUAAAGCUCAAUAAAGUCUUUCAUUGUUCACCUGCGAAAA
Long non-coding RNA from Peromyscus eremicus (cactus mouse), 1217 nucleotides. RefSeq lists it as uncharacterized. Lineage: Eukaryota; Metazoa; Chordata; Mammalia; Rodentia; Cricetidae. The transcript has 2 exons. The record is from RefSeq and is a predicted model, not a curated record.